AGUGAACGCUGGCGGCGUGCCUAACACAUGCAAGUCGAACGACAACACAGUAAGCUCUUGCCCUUGCCGUUGGCGAGUGGCGGGCGGGUGAGAAGUACAUCAGAAUCUACUUUUUCGUGGGGGACAACGGAGGGAAACUUACGCUAAUGCCGCAUAUGACCUACGGGUUGAUGCAGUAGAUCUUCGUACCUUGGCCGUCUCUAUGAGAUGAUCUUGCGUCGUAUUGGCUAGUGGGUAAGGUAACGGCUAACCAAGGCUACGAUGCGUAGCUGACCUGAGAGGAUGAUCGGCCACACUGGAACUGAGACACGGUCCAGACUCCUACGGGAGGCAGCAGUGGGGAAUAUUGGGCAAUGGGCGCAAGCCUGACCCAGCAAUACCGCGUGGGUGAAGAAGGCCUUCGGGUGGUAAAGCCCUUUUGUUGGGAAAGAAAAGCAGCAGGUGAAUACCUCGCUGUUCUGACGGUACCCAAAGAGUAAGCACCGGCUAACUUCGUG
RNAcentral lists this ribosomal RNA (497 nucleotides) under uncultured bacterium. RNAcentral's name for it is "partial 16S ribosomal RNA". It matches the Rfam family "Bacterial small subunit ribosomal RNA", at positions 29 to 507 of the family's 1533-position model. The record is from RNAcentral.